RNAcentral lists this long non-coding RNA (392 nucleotides) under Eucalyptus grandis. RNAcentral describes it as "long non-coding RNA (EGRA_LNC006851)". Lineage: Eukaryota; Viridiplantae; Streptophyta; Magnoliopsida; Myrtales; Myrtaceae. The record is from RNAcentral.
CUAAAAUCAACGGAACGGUGAGCCCCAAAAAUCGAAAGCCCUAGUUCGUUCGAUGAUUGAUUCGCAUCAUUCGAAUCCCUGGAUGAAUUGAAUCGAAAGAGGCGAGACUCGGGAUUACAAUUUAGGAAGCCGGAGAGGAAGUUUCGGCCGUACUCCGAGAUGACUGGGGUUUGCGCUCGAUCACGAUGUGAAGACCAGAUUUGAGUGAAAACGCCGUUACCGCAAAGUAUAAGCCUUUCCCCGAACCUGCUAAAUGGACAAAAUUAUUUCUAUGGCGAGUUUGCUUGUGUUAAUACUGGUUUUGCGUUCAAAUUGGUACAGUUAUUGCUUGUGCCUACUUCCCAAGCUCCUCCGCCCAAGUCCAGCCCCGCCUGCCGAACCCGCAUAUUCGA